AGGGCCUCGGGCUACAACACAGCCGCUAGUCCCGGCUUGUCCCUGUGAUGGGCCCCGUUCGCUCCCCAUCCCUGGACAAAAGUUUGGUCCUGAUCUCUCCCAGUUUUUGAUGGCGGCUUGUUUAUUUCCCCUAGACCUCUGGCUCUAGCCUCGCUAACAGUGUCCGAGCUGGAAGCCGGCGAUCUGGAAAUCUAGGUUCAGCACUCCCAGCACAGCCCCCACACUGGACACAAGUUUCCCGGUGCUCGCCGCAGUCCCGGCCACCGCGUCGGCCCGCUCGCCGCGUUCCAAGCGCUCUCAGACCCCUCCCUCACCGCUCUCCUCCUAAGGAAACUUGACCCUCGCCAGCCGCCGUCGCCAAGCCCCGACUUACUCGCUCUUGUCCAGCUGCUCGCCAGGCUCAAACUCCGCACGCCGUUACCCGGGCUCAGGGGGCGGGGCUUCGAUGUGGCAGCUGAGCUGAGAGGUUAUACCUAACUUGUCCAAAGUGACAAGGGGAUGGAGGACCUGCCACCCCGGGAAAUCUUUGCCCUUCCUGCUCCUCUCUUUGGAUGAUUUACUUCCAAAUUCUAGCACAACUGCCUCCUUGUCACUCAGUCGUUCACCACCACCACCCCUGUCUGUCAUGUGAAUGGUUUUUUUUUUUUUUUCAUACC
RNAcentral lists this long non-coding RNA (656 nucleotides) under Mus pahari (shrew mouse). Its description in RNAcentral is "glutathione synthase, opposite strand 1 (MGP_PahariEiJ_G0003385.1)". Lineage: Eukaryota; Metazoa; Chordata; Mammalia; Rodentia; Muridae. The record is from RNAcentral.